Octopus bimaculoides (California two-spot octopus) is the source of this 1397-nucleotide long non-coding RNA. The record is from RefSeq and is a predicted model, not a curated record. Lineage: Eukaryota; Metazoa; Mollusca; Cephalopoda; Octopoda; Octopodidae.
UUCAAAAGGAAAACGUUUCUCAAAGGAAACAUUGAAGCCCCCCACCAACAGCAGCUACAUCCGCAACAACUACAAAAACAACAUAUUUCAAGACAACAAAAUAUGAAAAUUUUUAACAAAAAAAGCAAUGACUCCAUUGACCAACAACAAGAAGAAAACCAGCAACACAUUUUCAUCAAAAUUAUUCGACAGAGACGGGUAGAACACUUUUUCGACUAUGAUUUUGUGAAAGAUUUCAGAAAAUGCUUGGUGAAACCUAAUCUCCUUACUCUAGCACCAAGCGAAAAAGGUCACAUCACACAAAAAAAUUGUGGUUUAUAUACUGCUUAACAUGAAGGCUAAAAGGAUUAAAACUCUGACCCCAGCACAGGCUGAAAAAUACCUGAAAAUGCCUGAAAGAUGUCUGGAGUUUGGAUUUCCAGUAGCAAUGUGCCAUAGUGAAGAAACUAGAAAAAAAUGGCUUUACACACAUGCUCUUCAGAACAUACUUUAAUUUCAUCCUACAUGGAAGACGAGUGAAUAAAGUUACAUUUACGAAUAUGACAGCAUGACUUAACAUCCAGUAUUUCGGGAUGACACUGGAUGAAUAUGGUUAUAUAUUCAUCAUGAAAUCCACGCCGAACGAAAACCGGUCAAUGAUCAGGAUGGAGGUGGAAAUACUGCUCACAGUAGAACUUUAACAAUAUCUCUGAUAUCGUUUACAUAGAAGGCUAGAGCCCAGAAAAGUGGUGAUAGAGGGGACAAAGGCAAAAUGUUAUGCCUGUGAAAUAACCACCCAUUUAAAAGGCUUUCUGCCACCAGCUAAAGAAACCUAAAUGACCACUGUGGUUAGCACCAAAUUUACACCAGCACAUAUAGAUCAAUUGAGGACACCUACACGAAGAUCCGUGUAACGACCGCAUCCAUAGUGAAGAUAUCCUUGCCACUCUCCUUUAACAGGGCAAGCAAAGUAGUUUUCCUUUGUCCUGGUCAGCAACUUCGGAUGAGGGCGACGCGAUUACAUCGACCACAGUACGCAAACGGUAAUUAUUUCAUCGACCCUGAAAGCAUGAAAAGUAAAGUCGAUCUUAGCAGAAUUUGAAUCCAGAAUAUGAAGACGGACGAAAUGCCGCUUUGAACGUAAUUAAAGAUCAAUUACUAGAUCAAUGAUUUUCCGAUUGCAAAAAGUACCGUCCAUCGUUCCGUUCAGGAUUUCAUAGAAAAAUACAGGAACAGCAUUUCCUUAUUUAAAGAUGCGAUGUGGAGGCUAUUGGCUUUUCACCAAGAAAACAACUAGCUAGAGGUGAAACGAGAUAAGAUAUAUGAUGAUGGAUAGAUACAUGAAUAACAAAUACUUUCUUAAAGAUCAAUUGAAACAGGGAUGCAAAAUAGUUGAGUACCUAUAAGUCUAUAUGUUU